UACAGAGGGGGCAAGCGUUAUUCGGAAUUAUUGGGCGUAAAGGGCGCGUAGGCGGCCUGGCAAGUGGAAGAUGAAAUCCCUCGGCUUAACCGAGGAACUGCCCUCCAAACUGCUUGGCUUGAGUCCGGGAGAGGUGAGUGGAAUUCCCAGUGUAGCGGUGAAAUGCGUAGAUAUUGGGAGGAACACCAGUGGCGAAGGCGGCUCACUGGACCGGAACUGACGCUGAGGUGCGAAAGCGUGGGGAGCAAACGGG
RNAcentral lists this ribosomal RNA (253 nucleotides) under uncultured bacterium. Its description in RNAcentral is "partial 16S ribosomal RNA". It matches the Rfam family "Bacterial small subunit ribosomal RNA", at positions 524 to 776 of the family's 1533-position model. The record is from RNAcentral.